CCUACGGGAGGCAGCAGUGAGGAAUAUUGCACAAUGGGGGAAACCCUGAUGCAGCGACGCCGCGUGAGCGAUGAAGUAUUUCGGUAUGUAAAGCUCUAUCAGCAGGGAAGAAAAUGACGGUACCUGACUAAGAAGCCCCGGCUAACUACGUGCCAGCAGCCGCGGUAAUACGUAGGGGGCAAGCGUUAUCCGGAUUUACUGGGUGUAAAGGGAGCGUAGACGGCAGUGCAAGUCCGGAGUGAAAGCCCGGGGCUCAACCCUGGGACUGCUCUGGAAACUGUAAAGCUGGAGUGCGGGAGGGGCAGGCGGAAUUCCUGGUGUAGCGGUGAAAUGCGUAGAUAUCAGGAGGAACACCGGCGGCGAAGGCGGCCUGCUGGACCGUAACUGACACUGAGGCACGAAAGCGUGGGGAGCAAACAGGAUUAGAUACCCCGGUAGUC
Molecule: ribosomal RNA, 440 nt
Filed under: uncultured bacterium
Lineage: Bacteria
Description: partial 16S ribosomal RNA
Rfam family: Bacterial small subunit ribosomal RNA
Source: RNAcentral